Leguminivora glycinivorella is the source of this 846-nucleotide long non-coding RNA. RefSeq lists it as uncharacterized. NCBI's taxonomy places the organism in Eukaryota, Metazoa, Arthropoda, Insecta, Lepidoptera, Tortricidae. The record is from RefSeq and is a predicted model, not a curated record. The transcript has 2 exons.
UUCUGUUAUUUGUGAUGUAGGUCUUACAGACGCCAUCAUGUGCUAUAUAGUCUAUCCUUAAGAGGAUUGUUCUGCUUCUGUUAUUUGUGAUGAAGGUCUUCAGAGAUGCCAUCAUGUGUUAUAUAGUCCUUAAGAGGUAUAUCCUUAAGAGGUUAGCUUGAGACCUUGUUUGUCAAAAGCAUGUUUUAUGACCUUAAAGAGUAAUGAUCUCAAGGUUACCUUGAAAGGGUCACUUACAUGCAUACUUUCCAGAGGUCGCUGGUGAAAUUACGGUUUCCAAUAGAGCGGAGAGAGCAACUGUUCGGAAUGCCUAGCUGAACGAAUGCAUGCUACAGGCUGCGCGACAACCUUGUCAUGAAGGGCCAACUUCUGCGGUCGUUGCGCUGACAGCCACGAAAGAAGCCGUAUCACCGUGGCUUUCGUAUGAAGAUUUGAUAUGGUAAUGUGUGUUGUCUUAUAGCAAAAUUGGUGGCUAGUACACAUUGAUUAUUACCAUUUAUUAAUUUUAUCAUGUUGAUAGAAAAAAAUAAUCAGCGGUUGUUAAAGGUCCUGCCAAGGAACAGCCAUGUAUUCUGCUUAAUAUAUAUUCAUGAAAAAAAAAAAAUACAUGACAAUAUUUUGUAAUGUCUUGAUUGUCAUUGUUUAUUACUAAAUUAUUUAACGGCUAUGUAAGCCGGAUCUGUAAUUGAGAGCACCUACUAUGCCAAUUAGCUUCUUAACAAGAGCUUGUGCUGUGUUGGAAGGUGGCUAUGAUCACGCAUAGGGUGUGUCAUGUUAACCUCUCACGAGUUGUACGCCUUCUUGCGCAUGUGGGGAGCUUCACAGCCUACAGUGACGAAGCCAACU